RNAcentral lists this ribosomal RNA (459 nucleotides) under uncultured bacterium. RNAcentral describes it as "partial 16S ribosomal RNA". It matches the Rfam family "Bacterial small subunit ribosomal RNA", at positions 29 to 523 of the family's 1533-position model. The record is from RNAcentral.
AACGAACGCUGGCGGCAGGCUUAACACAUGCAAGUCGAACGCGAAAUCACCUUCGGGUGGUGGAGAGUGGCAGACGGGUGAGUAACGCGUGGGAACCUACCUAGUGGUACGGAAUAACUCAGGGAAACUUGGGCUAAUACCGUAUGUGCCCGAAAGGGGAAAGAUUCAUCGCCACUAGAUGGGCCCGCGUCGGAUUAGCUUGUUGGUGAGGUAACGGCUCACCAAGGCGACGAUCCGUAGCUGGUCUGAGAGGAUGAUCAGCCACACUGGGACUGAGACACGGCCCAGACUCCUACGGGAGGCAGCAGUGGGGAAUAUAGGACAAGGGGCGCAAGCCUGAUCCAGCCAUGCCGCGUGAGUGAUGAAGGCCCUAGGGUUGUAAAGCUCUUUCGGCGGGGACGAUAAUGACGGUACCCGCAGAAGAAGCCCCGGCUAACUUCGUGCCAGCCGCCGCAGUAA